AAUCUCCUUUUAGUUUCUGAGAUUUUCCUUCUUGGUUGUGCAGGGUCUUCGGAUGGAAGCGAAUGUUCCAGCUCUAUCAAAAACUUCACCUUUAAGUGUUGCUGUGCAUUCUAUCAGGACCAGGUGUGUUCAGCAAGCAAACGUGUUCAAGUAGAAGCUGCACUGCACCUUGUAAACUGCAAAGUGGCUUAUGGUAACUGGAACUUCUAGAUUCAGUAUUCUGUGUACAAAUGAAAAAUCUUGGAUAAUUAAGACUGAAGUCACUGAGAAUUUCAGUAUGCUGACUUUAAAGGUCCUAAGGAAACUCAGCACUUGAAACUGAAUGCAAGACUCCACUGUUAUCCAGUGCACUCACUGAUACCAGCCCCAGAAGAGAUUCCUGAGAAUGCCUAGAAAACCUGACCUUCCUCUCCUGACAGCACAUCAAGAGAAGAUUCACAAGGAUCUGGAAGACUAUCAGUGUCCGCAGGUGCUGUGCAAAGAGCUCUUCUGUUCUCUGCCAGUACACAUCCACCAUCAGACUUGACCACGUUCUAGUUCCACUCUGAUGACCAAACAAGAUUUUGUCUUCAGUUUCUGUAUCAUUCGUAUUUCCCAAGUUGAGAACUGAAUUCCUUAACUGCUUAUUUAUAACAGGAUGGCAAAGUUUUACGUACCAAAAUAUCUGUAGCAUCAUAUUCUAAUUUCUUUAGAAAACACAGUUAAGUAAUUGAUCUUGAACUUGAGAAGCUAUAUUAAAAUUCAAAUAAAUAAGUAUAUUAUCUGGGGAAAAACAAACAAACCCCAAGGAGCUGUCAGCAUAAAUCCACCAGCCUCACCUGGCUGUGAUUUUAACGACACAAACACAACUUUGUUGCUUUGGUUCAUUUCCCUUAAAUUUCAUGAAUUGCCACAGAUCUGUUUAAUCUCUCUUUACAGCUAAUGAUACCAUCUCUACUGUGCCACUUUACUCAGAACAGCAUAAAAUAUACCAAUGGUUCUUCAAUCUUUGUCAUUCACUGUUUUCUCUCCAUCAUGUAAUUACCGUCUCAGUUUGCUCUCUCAACAUAAAGCAAUACAUGUCUGAACAACAAAACAGAAGGCUAUGAUGAACACCAGUGCCUUGGAGGCAACCUGCUUGCACAAGCCAAAGGCACCAGCAUUUCAGUAAACGUGUGAAAGUAAGAUGUCAUCCAGGUUAGGAAGCAGAAGUGCAUGACAGCAAGCUGUUGCAACUCCAGUGUAAAAGAAGGCGUGUACCCAUUUUCCCUCAAAGCAAGCAAAUAAACCAUGGAAUCAGCAGCAGCAUUCAGAAUGCUCUUGGCUUUGCAGGGAGAUUGAUUUACAGCAACCACCACCACCUCACUUUCUGCCCAAAGCUCCUCCAUACACUGCAGUUGCUGGAAGUAACACUUGAAAUUGCUGUCAGGGAAGGACUGGAGAAAAGCUGAGUUUGUUUAUUUGGGGCCAUUAACUGUAUUUUACGUCUAGACGUUUCAAUUUCCCCUGAUCACAGGAAACCUGCUAUUCCUGAAAGUAACAGUGAAGGGAUUUCUGUUUUUAUUUUUUUUAAAGAAGGCACGCUGGGAAAGCUACAGUAAAUCAGGGUAGGAGCGCACAGUUCAAAAUGCAGGGCACAGGAUCAAAACCAGAAUAAAAACAGCUACUUUAUAAACUAACAGCAUCACUGCUAAGCUGGGAAGCAGUACGUGUAACCUUUCAUCUCUCAGUCAGAAUUUCUGAUGCAGCUACAUCACGUGACAGUCUUACUGGCUUUCUUACCUGCUUAGCCAUCAGUGUAAAUCUGUGCCAUGUCACAACGUCAUCAUUAUUAAAGGAUAUGGCAAAGAGAACAAGAACCAGAGAAAAGCAAACACUGAACUCUAGUCUUAAGAGCACCAAAGAACUCCUUAGUCUUUACAGUCAAAAACCAUAUUUUAGUGUUAAAAGAAUUUCAGGUUCUCACGUUGUCGAAAUGGCUUCUUCCACCUAUGCAGAAGCCUCAAUGACAGAACAGCGAGUGCCUGGAAUGCAGUGGACAAACACUACCAGACAGUUUUGUGCUUUACUGAGACAAAAUCUGAGAGUUAAAUUUAGACUGAUGACUUCUGCAGGCACUCAGAUGUUUCUGCUUUAAGUUUUCUAGAAAUUGCAAAUGAGAACUUGGCAGAGUUUAAAUUGACCCAGCAUGUUUCUUUUGGAAUCCAAAUCAUAUUCUGUCCUAUUACUCUGCAAAACUGUUAAGAAAAAAAAGUCAUGCUUUUCAACACAUGGCUUCAGACAACUGACAGAGACAUUCGAUUUAUUUUUGUGCUGAAAAAAAAAACCACAGGUACCAUUUUUUUCUUCUUCAAAAGUCACUACGAAAAUUAAUAGAGGAAUCAAAGUUAGCUCCAUGGCAGCAUAAGCACAGUUUGCUGAACAACACUACUUACGUAACUGCAUUAAUUCAAAUAUGGCUACAGUAAUUUCUUUCCAUUUACCAUGGGAAAAUACAUUGCACUUGGAGACUCUGAUCUCAUUCUUAAAUACUAGACACUUAGCAGAGCAUGCAGGUGUCACCAAGCUGUUUUGUGGAUGCAGCUGGUAAUCCUUGCAAACUUAUUUGCAAUCUUUGAAUGGCAGCAGAGACACUGUGUUGUUUUCUGUUUGUUUGUUUUGCAAUACCAUGAACAGCUGAUUGAAUGAAAACGCUCAGAGGUUACAAACUGAAGAAAUAUAGGUCGUUACUUCUCCAUCUGCUGGUAAACAGACAGCACUACCCAGUGUCCCCCUGCUAACCUACAGGAUAUUGUAAUACUCAGAGCAGCUUAACAGCAAACACUAACAUGUAAUAAGCUCUUCCCUUUUGUUUGCAGUGUGAAGUAGCACAGUGCUAUCAGACUGAGCCGUACGCACAAGAGUUUCACAGCACUUUCACAAACAUUACUUUUCUAAUCCCUACAGUAGGAAUAAAUCUGAUAGUUUCCAUGUAGAAGAGACCCUAUCCA
This is a long non-coding RNA of Centrocercus urophasianus (Greater sage-grouse), 2969 nucleotides long. RefSeq lists it as uncharacterized. Lineage: Eukaryota; Metazoa; Chordata; Aves; Galliformes; Phasianidae. The transcript is spliced from 5 exons. The record is from RefSeq and is a predicted model, not a curated record.